Molecule: ribosomal RNA, 234 nt
Filed under: uncultured bacterium
Lineage: Bacteria
Description: partial 16S ribosomal RNA
Rfam family: Bacterial small subunit ribosomal RNA
Source: RNAcentral
UGAGUAACCUGCCCUUGACUCUGGGAUAAGCCUGGGAAACCGGGUCUAAUACCGGAUAUGACUCUCCGCCGCAUGGCGGGGGGUGGAAAGCUUUAGUGCGGUUUUGGAUGGACUCGCGGUCUAUCAGCUUGUUGGUGAGGUAAUGGCUCACCAAGGCGACGACGGGUAGCCGGCCUGAGAGGGUGACCGGCCACACUGGGACUGAGACACGGCCCAGACUCCGUACGGGAGCAG